Molecule: transfer RNA, 83 nt
Filed under: Bacteroidetes bacterium ADurb.Bin139
Lineage: Bacteria; Pseudomonadati; Bacteroidota
Description: tRNA-Leu
Rfam family: tRNA
About the family: Transfer RNA (tRNA) molecules are approximately 80 nucleotides in length. Their secondary structure includes four short double-helical elements and three loops (D, anti-codon, and T loops). Further hydrogen bonds mediate the characteristic L-shaped molecular structure. tRNAs have two regions of fundamental functional importance: the anti-codon, which is responsible for specific mRNA codon recognition, and the 3' end, to which the tRNAs corresponding amino acid is attached (by aminoacyl-tRNA synthetases). tRNAs cope with the degeneracy of the genetic code in two manners: having more than one tRNA (with a specific anti-codon) for a particular amino acid; and 'wobble' base-pairing, i.e. permitting non-standard base-pairing at the 3rd anti-codon position.
Source: RNAcentral
GCGGGUAUGGUGGAACUGGUAGACACGUUAGACUUAGGAUCUAAUGCAGCAAUGCGUGGGGGUUCGAGUCCCUUUACCCGCAC